CCUGCCGGCGACCGGCGCACGGGUGAGUAACACGUAUGCAACCUGCCCGUCUCAGGGGGAUAAUCGUCGGAAACGGCGUCUAAUACCCCGUAUGAAGCUGGACGGCAUCGUCUGGUUUUGAAAGAAUAUCGGAGACGGAUGGGCAUGCGGCGCAUUAGCUAGUUGGCGGGGUAACGGCCCACCAAGGCGACGAUGCGUAGGGGUUCUGAGAGGAAGGUCCCCCACAUUGGAACUGAGACACGGUCCAAACUCCUACGGAAGGCAGCAG
Molecule: ribosomal RNA, 268 nt
Filed under: uncultured bacterium
Lineage: Bacteria
Description: partial 16S ribosomal RNA
Rfam family: Bacterial small subunit ribosomal RNA
Source: RNAcentral